This 320-nucleotide unclassified non-coding RNA is filed under the name uncultured fungus. RNAcentral describes it as "partial contains 5.8S rRNA and ITS2". The record is from RNAcentral. Lineage: Eukaryota; Fungi.
AACGCAAAUUGCGCCCGAGUCUUCGGACAAGGGCAUGUCUGCCUCAGCGUCGGGUUAAUACUCGCAAUACCAACCCCUGUGGUUGAUUAAUUGCUGACCUGGCCGUCCCGACCGAUUCAGUUUGGUCGGGUCGGCUGAAGUACAGAGGUUGUCCGCAUGGACCCGAUAUGGGCCUCAACUGGGUAGGCUAUUCGUUGCUGAAUGCUUUAGUUGAUGGCUUGUGGGCCGUGCAAUGUAGGCCCAACCAAGAACCGGGCUUGAGCCCGAAACAUAACCCAUUUUCUCGAUCUGAGCUCAGGCAAGAACACCCGCUGAGCUUA